AGCUCGAGGUUAGCUCUUCACUGCCCUGUGUCUUCUUUCCAAGGGUCUCGGUGAUUCGGCCACAGCCUCAGCCUCCAUCACGCGGUGAACUGAUGGUGCUGGAAGAUUCAUAGACUCCAGGACAUUCCUGAAGCCGAGAAAAGGUUAAGUAGGGUCUGGCCUGGAAUACUCUCCUAGAUGAAGAUAGCCCAACCAUGAGCCACCUUCGAAGCAGAUGAGAUGAAAUUAAAGCUCUUCAACUCCUAAAGGCCCAGAGACUAUCACAAAAGAGGUCAGAAAUCCUGAAGGUCACUUUCUGACAAACUCAGGAACCCCAGGUUUAUCUUGGAGCCUCAAGAGGAGAUAAAUUCACCCAACUCAGGCUGGAGUGCAGUGGAAUGAUCUUGGCUCACUUCCGUCUCCGCCUUCCAGUUUCAAGUGAUUCUCCUGCCUCAGCCUACUGAGUAGUUGGGAUUACAGGUGCCUGCCACCACACCCAGCUAAUUUUUGUAUUUUUAGUAAAGAUGGGGUUUCACCAUGUUGGCCAGGCUGGUCUCAAACUCCUGACGUCAUGAUCUGCCCGCUUCAGUCUCCCAAAGUGUGAUUACAGAGUGAGGCUGGCUGGGGGAGCCUGGGCUCCUCUGUCCUCCCCGAGGUGGCAGUGGCUGAUGUCUGCUCAGGUGUGAGGGGGUGCUGCCAUCCUCUGGGCCUGAGGCUGCCUGGCCCAGCCCCUCCUAACUCCCUGGACUCUUCCACGGUGUCUUCAGGCCCCUACACCAUCCUUUGUGUAAGGGGAGGUGGCAGCAUAGAGAUGAUGGGGGAACUGCCCCAUGUGCCAAGGAAAGCUCACCCAUCUGUGCGAAAUGCUCUGGUUGACAUUGGGUUUUUGCGCACCAAACUGGGCCAUGACCAAGGUUUAUAACCAAGGUGUCUCCGGGCAUGGGCACUUUGGCUCUUGUAGAAACCACCCCACUGGCAGGAGACGGCGGUAGCUGUGGUCAUUGAAAACAAGCUCCUGCUGAUAAAUCUCAGACACCAGACACAGAAGAACCUGGAGACCCUGCCAGAGAGCUUGAGGCAAAUGGAUGGACUGUUGGAGCAGCUGAGGGUGAAGCAGCACAAACUCCUCAAAGUUGAAUAGCAAAGCAGCCACCAGAGAUGGACAAGAAAAAUGAACAAAGAAAAUUAGCAGAAAUCAAAGGCAGAUGCUAAAGCAGUGCAAAAUCAUUCAUUCAAUGAUAGAAAUGAAAUUGAUGAAGGAGUCUGGAAAAUGAAUGACAGAAGAGAAUUAAACAGCAGUGACCAUAGUAAGGUCCUGACGAUUCUGGUCCACUGAAUCCCAUCAUCCCUAAGACAGUAAAUAUCAUCACAGUCACCACCAGCAAGUUACCACCACAGCAUUUCCUGUUUGUUCCAAAAUGAAUAAAGAUGAUUCUCAUCACAAGGGCAAAUACAAAGUAGUUUAGUAUGUUUUUAACUAAACUAAAGGUGUUUGGUUUACUUUUUCUAAGUUCUCAUAAUUCUGAAAAUGCAGUUGACACUUGUGUGGCUCAUGAUGUUUUUAAUAGUCUAAUGCUACUUGAAUUGUUCAAAAACCACUGUAUUUUAAAUUAAGAUGAAUAAACGGUCCUUUGAAAACUGGCACAAGGCAAGGAUGCCCUCUGUCACCACUCCUAUUCAACACAGUAUUGGAAGUUCUGGCCAGGGCAAUCAGGCAAGGGAAAGCAAUACAGCGUAUCAAAAUAGGAAGAGAGGAAGUCAAAUUGUCUCUGUUUGCAGAUGACAUGAUUGCAUAUUUAGAAAACCCCAUCUUCUCAGCCCAAAACCUCCUUAAGCUGAUAAGCAACUUCAGCAGUCUCAGAAUACAAAAUCAAUGUGCAAAAAAUCACAAGCAUUCCUAUACAUUAAUAACAGACAAACAGAGAGCCAAAUCAUGA
This is a long non-coding RNA of Homo sapiens (human), 1916 nucleotides long. The record is from Ensembl. Lineage: Eukaryota; Metazoa; Chordata; Mammalia; Primates; Hominidae.